GCUGAGGUCUAUCCCGACACAUCUUUAACUGUAGGGUCGUGUCGUUGGAAAUGCCUCACAGAGCAAAUCUGCAGUUUGGCUUUACCCACAUGUUCACUGCCAUGGGCAUGCUGGGAUAUUACCGCAGAACACAA
This 134-nucleotide small nucleolar RNA is filed under the name Mastacembelus armatus (zig-zag eel). Lineage: Eukaryota; Metazoa; Chordata; Actinopteri; Synbranchiformes; Mastacembelidae. The record is from RNAcentral.